UGCAAGUCGAACGAGUUCUGAUUAUUGAAAGGUGCUUGCAUCUUGAUUUAAUUUUGAACGAGUGGCGGACGGGUGAGUAACACGUGGGUAACCUGCCCUUAAGUGGGGGAUAACAUUUGGAAACAGAUGCUAAUACCGCAUAAAUCCAAGAACCGCAUGGUUCUUGGCUGAAAGAUGGCGUAAGCUAUCGCUUUUGGAUGGACCCGCGGCGUAUUAGCUAGUUGGUGAGGUAACGGCUCACCAAGGCAAUGAUACGUAGCCGAACUGAGAGGUUGAUCGGCCACAUUGGGACUGAGACACGGCCCAAACUCCUACGGGAGGCAGCAGUAGGGAAUCUUCCACAAUGGACGCAAGUCUGAUGGAGCAACGCCGCGUGAGUGAAGAAGGCUUUCGGGUCGUAAAACUCUGUUGUUGGAGAAGAAUGGUCGGCAGAGUAACUGUUGUCGGCGUGACGGUAUCCAACCAGAAAGCCACGGCUAACUACGUGCCAGCAGCCGCGGUAAUACGUAGGUGGCAAGCGUUAUCCGGAUUUAUUGGGCGUAAAGCGAGCGCAGGCGGUUUUUUAAGUCUGAUGUGAAAGCCCUCGGCUUAACCGAGGAAGUGCAUCGGAAACUGGGAAACUUGAGUGCAGAAGAGGACAGUGGAACUCCAUGUGUAGCGGUGAAAUGCGUAGAUAUAUGGAAGAACACCAGUGGCGAAGGCGGCUGUCUGGUCUGUAACUGACGCUGAGGCUCGAAAGCAUGGGUAGCGAACAGGAUUAGAUACCCUGGUAGUCCAUGCCGUAAACGAUGAAUGCUAGGUGUUGGAGGGUUUCCGCCCUUCAGUGCCGCAGCUAACGCAUUAAGCAUUCCGCCUGGGGAGUACGACCGCAAGGUUGAAACUCAAAGGAAUUGACGGGGGCCCGCACAAGCGGUGGAGCAUGUGGUUUAAUUCGAAGCAACGCGAAGAACCUUACCAGGUCUUGACAUCUUUUGAUCACCUGAGAGAUCAGGUUUCCCCUUCGGGGGCAAAAUGACAGGUGGUGCAUGGUUGUCGUCAGCUCGUGUCGUGAGAUGUUGGGUUAAGUCCCGCAACGAGCGCAACCCUUAUGACUAGUUGCCAGCAUUUAGUUGGGCACUCUAGUAAGACUGCCGGUGACAAACCGGAGGAAGGUGGGGAUGACGUCAAAUCAUCAUGCCCCUUAUGACCUGGGCUACACACGUGCUACAAUGGAUGGUACAACGAGUUGCGAGACCGCGAGGUCAAGCUAAUCUCUUAAAGCCAUUCUCAGUUCGGACUGUAGGCUGCAACUCGCCUACACGAAGUCGGAAUCGCUAGUAAUCGCGGAUCAGCACGCCGCGGUGAAUACGUUCCCGGGCCUUGUACACACCGCCCGUCACACCAUGAGAGUUUGUAACACCCGAAGCCGGUGGCGUAACCCUUUUAGGGAGCGAGCCGUCUAA
RNAcentral lists this ribosomal RNA (1442 nucleotides) under Lacticaseibacillus rhamnosus. Its description in RNAcentral is "bacterial SSU rRNA". It matches the Rfam family "Bacterial small subunit ribosomal RNA". Lineage: Bacteria; Bacillati; Bacillota; Bacilli; Lactobacillales; Lactobacillaceae. The record is from RNAcentral.